This 97-nucleotide ribosomal RNA is filed under the name uncultured bacterium. RNAcentral describes it as "partial 16S ribosomal RNA". It matches the Rfam family "Bacterial small subunit ribosomal RNA", at positions 1386 to 1482 of the family's 1533-position model. The record is from RNAcentral.
CACACCGCCCGUCACACCAUGGGAGUUUGUUGCACCAGAAGCAGGUAGCUUAACCGCAAGGGGGGCGCUUGCCACGGUGUGGCCGAUGACUGGGGUG